AGCAGCCGCGGUAAUUCCAGCUCCAAUAGCGUAUAUUAAAGUUGCUGCAGUUAAAAAGCUCGUAGUUGAAUUUCGGGAUCAAUAUGUUGGUCGUGCCUUGGUACGUACUAGCUUAUUGGUUUCUCCCUUCUGACGAACCAUGAUGUCAUUAAUUUGGUGUCAUGUGGAAUCAGGACUGUUACUUUGAAAAAUUAGAGUGUUUAAAGCAGGCUCACGCUUGAAUACAUUAGCAUGGAAUAAUGAAAUAGGACGUUUGAUUCUAUUUUGUUGGUUUCUAGGAUCGACGUAAUGAUUAAUAGGGAUAGUUGGGGGCAUUAGUAUUCAAUUGUCAGAGGUGAAAUUCUUGGAUUUAUUGAAGACUAACUACUGCGAAAGCAUUUGCCAAGGAUGUUUUCAUUAAUCAAGAACGAAAGUUAGGGGAUCGAAGACGAUCAGAUACCGUCGUAGUCUUAACCAUAAACUAUGCCGACUAGGGAUCGGAUGAUGUUAAUUUUUAAUGACUCAUUC
Molecule: ribosomal RNA, 507 nt
Filed under: uncultured Glomus
Lineage: Eukaryota; Fungi; Glomeromycota; Glomeromycetes; Glomerales; Glomeraceae
Description: SSU rRNA
Rfam family: Eukaryotic small subunit ribosomal RNA
Source: RNAcentral